This 1453-nucleotide ribosomal RNA is filed under the name uncultured organism. Its description in RNAcentral is "SSU rRNA". It matches the Rfam family "Bacterial small subunit ribosomal RNA". The record is from RNAcentral.
AGCUACAGGCUUAACACAUGCAAGUCGAGGGGCAGCAUGGUCUUAGCUUGCUAAGGCCGAUGGCGACCGGCGCACGGGUGAGUAACACGUAUCCAACCUGCCGUCUACUCUUGGACAGCCUUCUGAAAGGAAGAUUAAUACAAGAUGGCAUCAUGAGUCCGCAUGUUCACAUGAUUAAAGGUAUUCCGGUAGACGAUGGGGAUGCGUUCCAUUAGAUAGUAGGCGGGGUAACGGCCCACCUAGUCUUCGAUGGAUAGGGGUUCUGAGAGGAAGGUCCCCCACAUUGGAACUGAGACACGGUCCAAACUCCUACGGGAGGCAGCAGUGAGGAAUAUUGGUCAAUGGGCGAGAGCCUGAACCAGCCAAGUAGCGUGAAGGAUGACUGCCCUAUGGGUUGUAAACUUCUUUUAUAAAGGAAUAAAGUCGGGUAUGGAUACCCGUUUGCAUGUACUUUAUGAAUAAGGAUCGGCUAACUCCGUGCCAGCAGCCGCGGUAAUACGGAGGAUCCGAGCGUUAUCCGGAUUUAUUGGGUUUAAAGGGAGCGUAGAUGGAUGUUUAAGUCAGUUGUGAAAGUUUGCGGCUCAACCGUAAAAUUGCAGUUGAUACUGGAUAUCUUGAGUGCAGUUGAGGCAGGCGGAAUUCGUGGUGUAGCGGUGAAAUGCUUAGAUAUCACGAAGAACUCCGAUUGCGAAGGCAGCCUGCUAAGCUGCAACUGACAUUGAGGCUCGAAAGUGUGGGUAUCAAACAGGAUUAGAUACCCUGGUAGUCCACACGGUAAACGAUGAAUACUCGCUGUUUGCGAUAUACUGCAAGCGGCCAAGCGAAAGCGUUAAGUAUUCCACCUGGGGAGUACGCCGGCAACGGUGAAACUCAAAGGAAUUGACGGGGGCCCGCACAAGCGGAGGAACAUGUGGUUUAAUUCGAUGAUACGCGAGGAACCUUACCCGGGCUUAAAUUGCAGAUGAAUUACGGUGAAAGCCGUAAGCCGCAAGGCAUCUGUGAAGGUGCUGCAUGGUUGUCGUCAGCUCGUGCCGUGAGGUGUCGGCUUAAGUGCCAUAACGAGCGCAACCCUUGUUGUCAGUUACUAACAGGUUCCGCUGAGGACUCUGACAAGACUGCCAUCGUAAGAUGUGAGGAAGGUGGGGAUGACGUCAAAUCAGCACGGCCCUUACGUCCGGGGCUACACACGUGUUACAAUGGGGGGUACAGAGGGCCGCUACCACGCGAGUGGAUGCCAAUCCCCAAAACCUCUCUCAGUUCGGACUGGAGUCUGCAACCCGACUCCACGAAGCUGGAUUCGCUAGUAAUCGCGCAUCAGCCACGGCGCGGUGAAUACGUUCCCGGGCCUUGUACACACCGCCCGUCAAGCCAUGGGAGCCGGGGGUACCUGAAGUGCGUAACCGCGAGGAGCGCCCUAGGGUAAAACUGGUGACUGGGGCUAAGUCAUAACAAG